RNAcentral lists this ribosomal RNA (477 nucleotides) under uncultured bacterium. RNAcentral describes it as "bacterial SSU rRNA". It matches the Rfam family "Bacterial small subunit ribosomal RNA", at positions 28 to 523 of the family's 1533-position model. The record is from RNAcentral.
GACGAACGCUGGCGGCGUGCUUAACACAUGCAAGUCGAACGGUAAGGCCCUUCGGGGUACACGAGUGGCGAACGGGUGAGUAACACGUGGGUGAUCUGCCCUGCACUUUGGGAUAAGCCUGGGAAACUGGGUCUAAUACCGAAUAUGACCAUGGACUUCACGGUUUGUGGUGGAAAGCUUUUGCGGUGUGGGAUGGGCCCGCGGCCUAUCAGCUUGUUGGUGGGGUAAUGGCCUACCAAGGCGACGACGGGUAGCCGGCCUGAGAGGGUGACCGGCCACACUGGGACUGAGAUACGGCCCAGACUCCUACGGGAGGCAGCAGUGGGGAAUAUUGCACAAUGGCGCAAGCCUGAUGCAGCGACGCCGCGUGGGGGAUGACGGCCUUCGGGUUGGUAAACCUCGUUUCACCAGGACGAAGCGAGAGUGACGGUACCCGGAGAAGAAGGACCGGCAACUACGUGCCAGCAGCCGCGGUAA